CCUACGGGAGGCAGCAGUGAGGAAUAUUGGUCAAUGGGCUUACGCCUGAACCAGCCAAGUCGCGUGAGGGAAGACUGCCCUAUGGGUUGUAAACCUCUUUUAUAUGGGAAUAAAAUGUUCCACGUGUGGGAUUUUGUAUGUACCAUAUGAAUAAGGAUCGGCUAACUCCGUGCCAGCCGCCGCGGUAAUACGGAGGAUCCGAGCGUUAUCCGGAUUUAUGUGGUUUAAAGGGAGCGUAGGUGGAUUGUUAAGUCAGUUGGGAAAGUUUGCGGCUCAACCGGAAAAUUGCAGUUGAAACUGGCAGUCUUGAGUACAGUAGAGGUGGGCGGAAUGCGUGGUGUAGCGGUGAAAUGCUUAGAUAUCACGAAGAACUCCGAUUGCGAAGGCAGUUCACUGGACUGCAACUGACACUGAGGCUCGAAAGUGUGGGUAUCAAACAGGAUUAGAUACCCUAGUAGUC
RNAcentral lists this ribosomal RNA (460 nucleotides) under uncultured bacterium. RNAcentral's name for it is "partial 16S ribosomal RNA". It matches the Rfam family "Bacterial small subunit ribosomal RNA", at positions 338 to 795 of the family's 1533-position model. The record is from RNAcentral.